Molecule: ribosomal RNA, 1018 nt
Filed under: Streptomyces sp.
Lineage: Bacteria; Bacillati; Actinomycetota; Actinomycetes; Kitasatosporales; Streptomycetaceae
Description: bacterial SSU rRNA
Rfam family: Bacterial small subunit ribosomal RNA
Source: RNAcentral
UGAUGCAGCGACGCCGCGUGAGGGAUGACGGCCUUCGGGUUGUAAACCUCUUUCAGCAGGGAAGAAGCGAAAGUGACGGUACCUGCAGAAGAAGCGCCGGCUAACUACGUGCCAGCAGCCGCGGUAAUACGUAGGGCGCAAGCGUUGUCCGGAAUUAUUGGGCGUAAAGAGCUCGUAGGCGGUCUGUCACGUCGGAUGUGAAAGCCCGGGGCUUAACCCCGGGUCUGCAUUCGAUACGGGCAGACUAGAGUGUGGUAGGGGAGAUCGGAAUUCCUGGUGUAGCGGUGAAAUGCGCAGAUAUCAGGAGGAACACCGGUGGCGAAGGCGGAUCUCUGGGCCAUUACUGACGCUGAGGAGCGAAAGCGUGGGGAGCGAACAGGAUUAGAUACCCUGGUAGUCCACGCCGUAAACGGUGGGAACUAGGUGUUGGCGACAUUCCACGUCGUCGGUGCCGCAGCUAACGCAUUAAGUUCCCCGCCUGGGGAGUACGGCCGCAAGGCUAAAACUCAAAGGAAUUGACGGGGGCCCGCACAAGCAGCGGAGCAUGUGGCUUAAUUCGACGCAACGCGAAGAACCUUACCAAGGCUUGACAUACACCGGAAACGGCCAGAGAUGGUCGCCCCCUUGUGGUCGGUGUACAGGUGGUGCAUGGCUGUCGUCAGCUCGUGUCGUGAGAUGUUGGGUUAAGUCCCGCAACGAGCGCAACCCUUGUUCUGUGUUGCCAGCAUGCCCUUCGGGGUGAUGGGGACUCACAGGAGACUGCCGGGGUCAACUCGGAGGAAGGUGGGGACGACGUCAAGUCAUCAUGCCCCUUAUGUCUUGGGCUGCACACGUGCUACAAUGGCCGGUACAAAGAGCUGCGAAACCGUGAGGUGGAGCGAAUCUCAAAAAGCCGGUCUCAGUUCGGAUUGGGGUCUGCAACUCGACCCCAUGAAGUCGGAGUUGCUAGUAAUCGCAGAUCAGCAUUGCUGCGGUGAAUACGUUCCCGGGCCUUGUACACACCGCCCGUCACGUCACG